GACGAACCGUGCGAACGUUGUUCGGAAUCACUGGGCUUAAAGGGCGCGUAGGCGGGUCUCCAAGUCAGGGGUGAAAUCUUUCGGCUCAACCGGAAAAGUGCCUUUGAUACUGGGGAUCUCGAGGGGGGUAGGGGCCUGCGGAACUUCCGGUGGAGCGGUGAAAUGCGUAGAUAUCGGAAGGAACGCCGGUGGCGAAAGCGGCAGGCUGGACCCUUUCUGACGCUGAGGCGCGAAAGCCAGGGGAGCGAACGGGAUUAGAUACCCCGGUAGUCCUGGCCCUAAACGAUGGGCACUGGGUCGUGGGCCAGCAUGGGCUCACAGCCGGAGCAAAAGUGUUAAGUGCCCCGCCUGGGGAGUAUGGUCGCAAGGCUGAA
This 374-nucleotide ribosomal RNA is filed under the name uncultured bacterium. RNAcentral describes it as "bacterial SSU rRNA". It matches the Rfam family "Bacterial small subunit ribosomal RNA", at positions 524 to 898 of the family's 1533-position model. The record is from RNAcentral.